RNAcentral lists this ribosomal RNA (139 nucleotides) under Giardia duodenalis. Its description in RNAcentral is "Giardia intestinalis partial 18S small subunit ribosomal RNA". The record is from RNAcentral. Lineage: Eukaryota; Fornicata; Diplomonadida; Hexamitidae.
GAAGCCAUGCAUGCCCGCUCACCCGGGACGCGGCGGACGGCUCAGGACGACGGUUGCACCCCCCGCGGCGGUCCCUGCUAGCCGGACACCGCUGGCAACCCGGCGCCAAGACGUGCGCGCAAGGGCGGGCGCCCGCGGG